GACUCUCAGCGGUGGAUCACUCAUUUCUCAGGUCGAUGAAGAACGCAGCCAGCUGCGAGACUUGGUGUGAAUCGGGACACACUGAGCACUAGCUCUUUGAACGCCAAUCGCGGCCUCUGGCCUUCCCGUGGUUUCAUCUGUGGGAGGGUCG
Molecule: ribosomal RNA, 151 nt
Filed under: Ixodes scapularis (black-legged tick)
Lineage: Eukaryota; Metazoa; Arthropoda; Arachnida; Ixodida; Ixodidae
Description: 5.8S ribosomal RNA
Rfam family: 5.8S ribosomal RNA
About the family: 5.8S ribosomal RNA (5.8S rRNA) is a component of the large subunit of the eukaryotic ribosome. It is transcribed by RNA polymerase I as part of the 45S precursor that also contains 18S and 28S rRNA.
Source: RNAcentral